RNAcentral lists this ribosomal RNA (552 nucleotides) under Triticum aestivum (bread wheat). RNAcentral's name for it is "partial small subunit ribosomal RNA". Lineage: Eukaryota; Viridiplantae; Streptophyta; Magnoliopsida; Poales; Poaceae. The record is from RNAcentral.
AUGGACAAGGCCUCGAUCAUCAAGGACGCGAUAGAGUACAUCCAACAUUUACAGGCAGGGGAGCGGCAUAUGGAGGUCGAGGUUUCCGUGCUCGAGUCCGCCGCCGGUGCUAAGGAUAACUAUGGCGACGGCCUAUCCGUGGAGCAGGUCUCCUCAGCACAGAGGAAGAAGGUGAAGCGCGCCGUAUCUAUUACGUCCAUGAACGAUGCCUUGCUCGCCGCGGCAGUAGUAGUGACGUCGCUGCCCGUGGAGGUCCUGGAGCUUCGCGUGCCAGAGGUGAGCGAGAAGCUGCUGGUGGUGAGCAUGACGUGCAGCAAGAAGCGUGGCGCCAUGACCAAGGUAUGCAGCGCGCUCGAGGAGCUCUGUCCCAUGGUAAUCAUCGCCAAUAUCACCUCCAUCUCCGACUGCAGCAUGCACACCCUCUUCGUCAAGGUACCUCGUCGUCGCCCUCCACAAUUCAUCAGCAAUAGCUCUUCCGCUCGAUGCCAUCCGAUGGUUCUGUUUCUACUUGGUUUACGCGCUCUCCGAUGUUGCUGGCGACGACACACGUGA